Molecule: transfer RNA, 77 nt
Filed under: Betaproteobacteria bacterium RIFCSPLOWO2_02_FULL_63_19
Lineage: Bacteria; Pseudomonadati; Pseudomonadota; Betaproteobacteria
Description: tRNA-Pro
Rfam family: tRNA
About the family: Transfer RNA (tRNA) molecules are approximately 80 nucleotides in length. Their secondary structure includes four short double-helical elements and three loops (D, anti-codon, and T loops).
Source: RNAcentral
CUCGCUGUAGCGCAGCUGGCCAGCGCGCCUCGUUCGGGGCGAGGAGACCGCAGGUUCGAAUCCUGCCGGCGAGACCA